Non-coding RNA from Dermacentor andersoni, 543 nucleotides. The record is from RefSeq and is a predicted model, not a curated record. NCBI's taxonomy places the organism in Eukaryota, Metazoa, Arthropoda, Arachnida, Ixodida, Ixodidae.
UAUAUACCGCUACGAUCAAAAAGAAAAAGAAAAGCGAUCGGCCCACUGACGCGAUUAGAUAAAUCUUCAGCUUGACCAAGGUUGGCUCGACGUUUGCCGUCCGUUACGCUCAGACCACUGCGCGCGCACCACGGUGUGGACAUGCGCACAAGUAAUCGGCAGAAACGCUUGUGCGUUGCCUGUGCACAGCUCCUGUACGGCAGCAGCGGAAGGCAGCACACGGCCCCGUGCAGAGCCAAUUGAGCGGAACGUGACGCAUGCAGUGUCAGGCCAUGGGCCGAGAAUACCAUCCUCCGUCAGUGGGUGCCUGCCAACGCUGCCUAGAUCAUCGCCCAACGUCCGCGCUCCAGCACAUGUACGUGUGCUGGGCAAUCACAUAAUAUCACAGAGCAUUACAACGACUGCUCUUCUUGGACAUCCAGUACCUGACAUGAUGUUGCUUCUGGCCGAGCGCUAUCUUCUGAAGAUCAAGACGUUCGGUAGGCUUUCGGAAACAGAUUUACUUUUUAAUUUUCAGAUGAGGAAUACUAGUAAAUGAUGUGU